This 445-nucleotide ribosomal RNA is filed under the name Eubacterium sp. oral taxon G82. RNAcentral describes it as "bacterial SSU rRNA". It matches the Rfam family "Bacterial small subunit ribosomal RNA", at positions 375 to 824 of the family's 1533-position model. Lineage: Bacteria; Bacillati; Bacillota; Clostridia; Eubacteriales; Eubacteriaceae. The record is from RNAcentral.
GGGAAACCCUGAUGCAGCAACGCCGCGUGAGGUAUGAAGGCUCUUGGGUGUGUAAGCCUCUGUCCUAGGGGAAGAAAAAAAUGACGGUACCCGAAGGAGGAAGCCCCGGCUAACUACGAUGCCAGCAGCCGCGGUAAUACGUAGGGGGCAAGCGUUAUCCGGAAUUAUUGGGCGUAAUAGAGUGCGUAUGUGGUCUACUAAGCGCGAGGUGAAAGGCAAUGGCUCAACCAUUGUUAGCCUUGGCGAACUGGCAGCACUUGUAGUGCAAGAGAGGAAAGCGGAAUACUCUAGUGUAACGGUGAAAUGCGCAGAUAUUUAGGAGGAACACCGGCGGCGAAUGGCGGCUUACUGGAUUGUAACUGACACUGAGGCACGAAAGCGUGGGUAGCAAACACGAUUAGAUACCCUGGUAGUCCACGACCGUAUACGAUGACACUAAGGUGUC